CCCGCACAAGCGGAGGAACAUGUGGUUUAAUUCGAUGAUACGCGAGGAACCUUACCCGGGCUUGAAAUGCAUCUGACCGGCCUUGAAAGAGGUUUUUCCCCUUCGGGGCAGAUGUGUAGGUGCUGCAUGGUUGUCGUCAGCUCGUGCCGUGAGGUGUCGGCUUAAGUGCCAUAACGAGCGCAACCCUCAUCAUUAGUUACCAUCAGGUAAGGCUGGGGACUCUAAUGAGACUGCCAUCGUAAGAUGUGAGGAAGGUGGGGAUGACGUCAAAUCAGCACGGCCCUUACGUCCGGGGCGACACACGUGUUACAAUGGGUGGUACAAAGGGCAGCUACCUGGCGACAGGAUGCUAAUCUCCAAAACCACUCUCAGUUCGGAUCGGAGUCUGCAACUCGACUCCGUGAAGCUGGAUUCGCUAGUAAUCGCGCAUCAGCCACGGCGCGGUGAAUACGUUCCCGGGCCUU
RNAcentral lists this ribosomal RNA (464 nucleotides) under uncultured Proteiniphilum sp. RNAcentral describes it as "bacterial SSU rRNA". It matches the Rfam family "Bacterial small subunit ribosomal RNA", at positions 920 to 1382 of the family's 1533-position model. The record is from RNAcentral. Lineage: Bacteria; Pseudomonadati; Bacteroidota; Bacteroidia; Bacteroidales; Dysgonomonadaceae.